GCACGAGAUUAGCCGGUGCUUUCUCUGAUGGUACCGUCAUCCCUCGUUCGUAUUAAGAACGAGUCUUUCUUCCCACCUAACAGGAGUUUACAAUCCGAAGACCUUCAUCCCCCACGCGGCGUCGCUGCGUCAGGCUUUCGCCCAUUGCGCAAUAUUCCUCA
This 161-nucleotide ribosomal RNA is filed under the name uncultured bacterium. RNAcentral's name for it is "partial 16S ribosomal RNA". The record is from RNAcentral.